Molecule: ribosomal RNA, 609 nt
Filed under: uncultured bacterium
Lineage: Bacteria
Description: bacterial SSU rRNA
Rfam family: Bacterial small subunit ribosomal RNA (bases 1-524)
Source: RNAcentral
CCUACGGGAGGCAGCAGUGGGGAAUAUUGCACAAUGGGCGCAAGCCUGAUGCAGCGACGCCGCGUGAGGGAUGACGGCCUUCGGGUUGUAAACCUCUUUCAGUAGGGAAGAAGCGAAAGUGACGGUACCUGCAGAAGAAGCGCCGGCUAACUACGUGCCAGCAGCCGCGGUAAUACGUAGGGCGCAAGCGUUAUCCGGAAUUAUUGGGCGUAAAGAGCUCGUAGGCGGUUUGUCGCGUCUGCCGUGAAAGUCCGGGGCUCAACUCCGGAUCUGCGGUGGGUACGGGCAGACUAGAGUGAUGUAGGGGAGACUGGAAUUCCUGGUGUAGCGGUGAAAUGCGCAGAUAUCAGGAGGAACACCGAUGGCGAAGGCAGGUCUCUGGGCAUUAACUGACGCUGAGGAGCGAAAGCAUGGGGAGCGAACAGGAUUAGAUACCCUGGUAGUCCAUGCCGUAAACGUUGGGCACUAGGUGUGGGGGACAUUCCACGUUUUCCGCGCCGUAGCUAACGCAUUAAGUGCCCGCCUGGGGAGGUACGGCCGCGAGACGUAAACGUACGAAGAAGUUAGUACGGCGUUGAGACGNGCCGAGGACGACGACGAGGGAGGAGG